CCUACGGGGAGCAGCAGUGAGGAAUAUUGGUCAAUGGGCUUACGCCUGAACCAGCCAAGUCGCGUGAGGGAAGACUGCCCUAUGGGUUGUAAACCUCUUUUGUCAGGGAGCAACGCCGGCUACGUGUAGCCGGACUGAGAGUACCUGAAGAAAAAGCAUCGGCUAACUCCGUGCCAGCAGCCGCGGUAAUACGGAGGAUGCGAGCGUUAUCCGGAUUUAUUGGGUUUAAAGGGUGCGUAGGCGGAAUGCCAAGUCAGCGGUAAAAGCGCGGGGCUCAACCUCGCUCUGCCGUUGAAACUGGCGUUCUUGAGUGCGCGAGAAGUAUGCGGAAUGCGUGGUGUAGCGGUGAAAUGCAUAGAUAUCACGAAGAACUCCGAUUGCGAAGGCAGCAUACCGGCGCCCAACUGACGCUGAAGCACGAAAGCGUGGGUAUCGAACAGGAUUAGAUACCCCAGUAGUC
This 460-nucleotide ribosomal RNA is filed under the name uncultured bacterium. Its description in RNAcentral is "partial 16S ribosomal RNA". It matches the Rfam family "Bacterial small subunit ribosomal RNA", at positions 338 to 795 of the family's 1533-position model. The record is from RNAcentral.